GGUGGCUAGUAUAUGGUGUGUCAUGAGCCUCGCUCAUUAUCUCAUCUUUGAGUUUCUCUUAGUGUGGGAUACACAAUCUUUCUUCAAUCAUUAACGCAGCAUCCGACGUCUAGUGGUAACGUCCAGGCUUGCCUAUUCCUAUUGAUAAAUGUAUUCUCUCCAAGGUCUCAUUCUUUUUUUUUUUUUUUUUUUUUCGCAUUAUCAGCUUUCCUAUAAAGUUGGGUGUUAUUACCAUCGUGGCAAUAAUCCUUUCUACAGAUUCUAGUGGUUGAACCACUUCUAAAUUCAUUCUACUAAAAUCUUUUCAUGGGUUCCUCUUCCUAAGUAAGGGGAGAUCCCAACUUAAGUUGAGUCUUACGACUCAAGGAGUCGUCUACCUUGUUAGCUUUGCCUGGGUGGUAG
Molecule: long non-coding RNA, 402 nt
Filed under: Salvia miltiorrhiza (redroot sage)
Lineage: Eukaryota; Viridiplantae; Streptophyta; Magnoliopsida; Lamiales; Lamiaceae
Description: long non-coding RNA (SMIL_LNC000204)
Source: RNAcentral